RNAcentral lists this ribosomal RNA (513 nucleotides) under uncultured bacterium. Its description in RNAcentral is "partial 16S ribosomal RNA". It matches the Rfam family "Bacterial small subunit ribosomal RNA", at positions 899 to 1397 of the family's 1533-position model. The record is from RNAcentral.
ACUCAAAGGAAUUGACGGGGGCCCGCACAAGCGGUGGAGCAUGUGGUUUAAUUCGAUGCUAAGCGAAGAACCUUACCAGGGCUUGACAUACUGACUCAAGCUUAUGUGAAAGCAUGGAGUGGUGUGGAGCUUGCUUCACACAGUUAGUACAGGUGCUGCAUGGCUGUCGUCAGCUCGUGCCGUGAGGUGUCCGGUUAAGUCCGGUAACGAGCGCAACCCCUAUGUUUAGUUGCCAGCACGUAAGGUGGGAACUCUAAAGAGACUGCCGGCGACAAGCCGGAGGAAGGUGGGGACGACGUCAAGUCAUCAUGGCCCUUAUGUCCUGGGCUACACACAUGCUACAAUGGCUGAUACAAUGGGUUGCAAAACCGUGAGGCGAAGCCAAUCCCAUCAAAGUCAGUCUCAGUUCGGAUUGUAGGCUGCAACUCGCCUGCAUGAAGUUGGAAUCGCUAGUAAUCGUGGAUCAGCAACGCCACGGUGAAUACGUUCCCGGGCCUUGCACACACCGCCCGU